CCCUUAGAUGUUCUGGGCCGCACGCGCGCUACACUGAUGCAUUCAACGAGUCUAAAACCUGCUCUGAUAGGGGUGGGUAAUCUUUUGAAUGUGCAUCGUGAUUGGGAUAGAUGAUUGCAAUUUUUCAUCUUCAACGAGGAAUGCCUAGUAAACGCAAGUCAUCAGCUUGCAUUGAUUACGUCCCUGCCCUUUGUACACACCGCCCGUCGCUCCUACCGAUUGAAUGAUCCGAUGAAUAUCAUGGAUUGAGGAUGUAAGCAGGUUCGCCUGUCUUCAUCUUCGAGAAGUGAAGUAAAUCUUAUCAUUUAGAGGGAGGAGAAGUCGUAACA
This 329-nucleotide ribosomal RNA is filed under the name uncultured eukaryote. Its description in RNAcentral is "partial 18S ribosomal RNA". It matches the Rfam family "Eukaryotic small subunit ribosomal RNA", at positions 1470 to 1796 of the family's 1831-position model. The record is from RNAcentral.